RNAcentral lists this ribosomal RNA (468 nucleotides) under uncultured bacterium. RNAcentral's name for it is "partial 16S ribosomal RNA". It matches the Rfam family "Bacterial small subunit ribosomal RNA", at positions 28 to 507 of the family's 1533-position model. The record is from RNAcentral.
GACGAACGCUGGCGGCGUGCUUAACACAUGCAAGUCGAACGGUGAAGCUCCAGCUUGCUGGAGUGGAUCAGUGGCGAACGGGUGAGUAACACGUGAGCAACCUGCCCCUGACUCUGGAAUAAGCGCUGGAAACGGCGUCUAAUACUGGAUACGAGAAGGGUCCGCAUGGGCACUUUCUGGAAAGUUUUUCGGUUGGGGAUGGGCUCGCGGCCUAUCAGCUUGUUGGUGAGGUAAUGGCUCACCAAGGCGACGACGGGUAGCCGGCCUGAGAGGGCGACCGGCCACACUGGGACUGAGACAAGGCCCAGACUCCUACGGGAGGCAGCAGUGGGGAAUAUUGCACAAUGGGCGAAAGCCUGAUGCAGCGACGCCGCGUGAGGGAUGACGGCCUUCGGGUUGUAAACCUCUUUCAGCAGGGAAGAAGCGAAAGUGACGGUACCUGCAGAAGAAGCACCGGCUAACUACGUG